GCUUGUGUUGUGACCGAACUGGUUUUGAACUCCAAAAAUAGAUUGCUACUGAAGUUUCCAAUUCAUAAAUAUCAACUAUAAAACUUCAUAAUGUUUGAGGGACAUGAUGCAAAACUACAAUUCUAAGUUCUACAAAUUAAGAACAUGUCUUUACAAUAAAUUACAGAUGGAACUCACUAAAAUGAUCAGAAAGGAAAUAUUCUAAAGACUUCCAAAACUGGGGAGGAGAUGCUAAAUACAAAAUUUGAAAAUAGAGAAAGUCAAGCAAAAAGACAGUCA
Suricata suricatta (meerkat) is the source of this 279-nucleotide long non-coding RNA. RefSeq lists it as uncharacterized. Lineage: Eukaryota; Metazoa; Chordata; Mammalia; Carnivora; Herpestidae. The record is from RefSeq and is a predicted model, not a curated record. The transcript has 3 exons.